Molecule: transfer RNA, 76 nt
Filed under: Deltaproteobacteria bacterium
Lineage: Bacteria; Pseudomonadati; Myxococcota; Myxococcia
Description: tRNA-Gly
Rfam family: tRNA
About the family: Transfer RNA (tRNA) molecules are approximately 80 nucleotides in length. Their secondary structure includes four short double-helical elements and three loops (D, anti-codon, and T loops).
Source: RNAcentral
GCGGGCGUAGCUCAGUUGGUAGAGCAUCAGCUUCCCAAGCUGAGGGUCGCCGGUUCGAGUCCGGUCGCCCGCUCCA